This 395-nucleotide ribosomal RNA is filed under the name uncultured bacterium. RNAcentral's name for it is "bacterial SSU rRNA". It matches the Rfam family "Bacterial small subunit ribosomal RNA", at positions 30 to 429 of the family's 1533-position model. The record is from RNAcentral.
AUUGAACGCUGGCGGCAUGCCUUACACAUGCAAGUCGAACGGCAGCGGGCCUUCGGGUGCCGGCGAGUGGCGAACGGGUGAGUAAUGCAUCGGAACGUGCCAUUGAGUGGGGGAUAACGUAGCGAAAGUUACGCUAAUACCGCAUAUUCUGUGAGCAGGAAGGCAGGGGACCGCAAGGCCUUGCGCUCUUUGAGCGGCCGAUGUCAGAUUAGCUAGUUGGUGAGGUAAAGGCUUACCAAGGCGACGAUCUGUAGCGGGUCUGAGAGGAUGAUCCGCCACACUGGAACUGAGACACGGUCCAGACUCCUACGGGAGGCAGCAGUGGGGAAUUUUGGACAAUGGGCGCAAGCCUGAUCCAGCCAUGCCGCGUGAGUGAAGAAGGCCUCGGUUGUAAG